ACCGCAGCAAAUAGAAUAGCAGAGUGUUUUGUCUAUAAAUUCAAAAAUUCAGAAUAAUAUUCUUGAAUUGACAAAUUACCUUGUUUGUAGUUGGCUAACUCUAGCUCCAAAUGAAAACGUUGACCGUAUUGUCUUGGUUAUAGAUAUGCUUCAAAUAGUUCCACAUUUCUUGAGCAGUUGAAAAAGAGCGCAAAUUAUUGAUCAUAUGAGGAUCAAUAGUAUUGAGAAUCCAAGAAAUAAUCUGAGCAUCUUUGAUUUCCCACGCAUCUAAGGCAGUUUUCUCUAUCGGUGCCUUCGAAACCCCAUCAAGAUUCAGACUAAAUUGAAAAAGCUCCGUAAACAAGCAGCAGCAGAGAAACAGGGCAGCAAUACAGAAACAGAGCAGGAGCAGCAGUACAGAAACAGAGCAGGAGCAGCAACGCAGAAACAGAGCAGGAGCAGCAACGCAGAAACAGAGCAGGAGCAGCAACGCAGAAACAGAGCAGGAGCAGCAACGCAGAAACAGAGCAUCAGCAGAGAGACAUGCUCACAACGAGAGGCAGACGGAAUCACGAUGACAAUCGACCAA
This is a non-coding RNA of Cicer arietinum (chickpea), 568 nucleotides long. The record is from RefSeq and is a predicted model, not a curated record. Lineage: Eukaryota; Viridiplantae; Streptophyta; Magnoliopsida; Fabales; Fabaceae.